UUGCUUUGUCUCGUGCAGCCAACCCAGCAUAGUGAUGCGCCUCUCUGUCUGGCUUCUGGAAGGACGGAGAGAUAUGCUGAUGUAUGCACACUGGCCCCUGAGCAGUUUUGCCUGCAGGAGAGCAAGGUGAAGCCAGAGCUGCCAACACACUUCCAUCUGCAAGAUGAAACCCCCGGAGGGAUUUUUCCAUCCAGGAAUUCCCACAAGGACAUCUGCUGGCCAGGAUGGCAGACCUUUUGUGUCACCAACAUCCAGUGACAGCAAGCAAAGAGAAGCCCACAAGCUGGGAAGAGGAGCUGACCAGAAGCCAGGGACUGCAGUUCUGUGGUCUUGGGCUUCCCAGCCUCCAGACAUGCCCUGAGCAAAGAGCAGCGUAUUUCUCUCUUUGUGAGUCCUUUCAUUGUCUUCUCUCUUCACUUUUCUGAGAAUGAGUGGCUCUCCCCACAUUCCUGAACUCUUGUGUGACACCUGUGCAUUGAGUUGAGUCCAGUGGCAUUUAUCAUCCCAACUGGGAACAGACUCUGUUACCACACUCCAGAGAAACUGGCAUCACCAAAGACUCUCCAGAGGACAAAUUACUGCAAGUUACAAAAACUCAAUGUAAGUAGCUUGAGUGGAGGGAAAUGAGUGUAUGUCACAUGCUGUUGGUUCACAAUGAGUUGGGGUUCAGUUACCCUAGUAAUCUAUAAUAGUAAACUCCUUGCUUCUUUCCUUUGCCUCUGUUCCCCCUCCUCACUGAUUAGCUAUAGACAUCCUCCCUGUAAAAUAUCCUGAAAUGAACACUGGUUGUCUCAACUCACAGGCAUAUGCAUCAGUCAGAAGGAGAUUCUUCUGUUUGGAGUCUUAACUGUGAAUCUGUAGAAUGAAGAAUUUCAAAGUAAGAGUCAGUACACAACACAGACUUAAUAAACUGGGUUGGAGGUGAAGUUCUGAAAGGUAACUCUAGGAAAAGAAAAGUAAAAUGGCCACUCCAUACACAUUCCUGGGAAUUCAAAGGAGACUUCUUACCCUACAUCCUCCCUUUUACAGAUGAAGAAACCAGGGCUCAGAGGAGUUGGGCAUCUUGCCCAAGGUUGUAGGGAUGAUGAAUGGAACAUCCCAAGUCUGUCUAACUUGAGACCUUCACAGAUCAUUUUUCUUUCUUUGCUCUGUGCUAGACCUAGAGGGCGAGACAUAAUUAGUCCUUAAUGGAGGCUGACUCUGUCUUCAGUCAAUAGAAAAGCAACCCCAAGCAGGACGGGGGAGAUGGCUGAGUUGGUAAACUGCUUCCUGAACCAGCCUGAGGACAUGGGUUCAAGACUCAGAGUACACAUGAGAAGACAGGCAAAGGGGCUUGUUUCUGUGAUCUCAGGACUGGAGAGGCAGAGACAGGCAGAUCCCUGGAGCUCACUGACCAACCAGAUCAAUGAGAGACCCCAUAUCAAAAGAGAAGGGAGAGAGCAACUGAAGAGAGCACUUAAUAGCCAGUGUUGAUCACUAGCUUGUACACAUGUGUGCAAAUGUGCAUGCAUAACACACACACACACACACACACACACACACACACACACACACACACACACACACACACACACCACUCCAGUAACCCAGACUGGCGUAGGCAAGAGAAAAGUAAUCUAUGGGCCACAUGACCCAUCUGUGGGUAGUUCAAGGUUACAGAUGGAGUCAAAGAUGAGAGUUCCAUCAGCAUGCCCUCUGAUUUUCCUGGUUUCCACGCCAUACCCUUGUCUGCAUGUGGCUGAAAGAAGGCCACCAACAGCCCUGGGCUCAGGAGCCUUCAGCUCCCUCCUUCUCAUUUACAUACCCCUGUGCACCCUUGAUCAGUUCUAUCUGUGAGGACCUCAAAAGCAGGUCCAGAUGGGGCCACUCAGAAUCCCAUGUCUACAAGCGUCCAGUUGGGUGAGGACAUGAGGAUCUGCAAUUGGUCCAACUCCAACCAAAUGCCCAUGCUAGCCAAUCACUGUGGCUAGAGUAACAAGACCUGGGAAGACAGUAGAUGCUUCUAUCAAACUUAAAAAGGAGAUAAACAGGACUUACAGGGUGUCCAGUAUUGCUUCUCUGUGCAACUAUCUCACAGGUGGUGGUCUUGCUUUCAAACCCUUUUAUACAGAGUCUUCUCAUGACACAGCCUUUGUAACUCUGAAUUAAGAGGCUUUUUUUAAAGGUAAGGAAACAGUUACUUCUCUCCAACUUCAACAAGAGCAGCAGGACUAGACUUUGCUUUGCCAUACAUCCUGAAUUUUACAGUUGUUCUGUACACUUUGGUCUCUCACAGAGACUUUGGACCCAUCCCUAACAAUUCAGACACAGGAGACAGGGCCACAGAUAUUUGACAUGGCAGCUGUGGUGAUUUGAAUAAAAACAGUCCUCAUAGGCUCAUCUAUUUGAAUGCUUGUCAUCAGGGAGUGGCACUGCCUGAAGGAUUAGGAGAUGUGGUCUUGUUAGAGUAGUGGUGGCCUUGCUGGAAGAAGUGUAUCACUAGGGUGUAGCUGGAAGUAUCUCUCCCAUCUGUGUCCCUCGGCUGCUUGGUCCCAAGUAAACACACAGAGGCUUAUAUUAUUUACAAGCUGAGUGGCCAAUGGGUCAGGCUUCUUGUUAUAACUUAACCCAUUUCUAUUCAUCUAUAUGCUACCACGUGACCAUGGCAUAACUGGUCUGCUGGCAUCAUGUUGCUCUGUGGAUGGUAGGCUGGUGUCUCCCCCAGCUCCACCCUUCUUUGUUUUGUCUUCAGUUUGAAUGCACCCCCAACCUAUCAUGCCCUGCUGUAAGCCAAUGCAGCUUUAUUUAUCAACCAAUCACAGCAACACAUAGCCACAGCUUACAGAAAGACAUCCCACAGCAAUAGGGAUAGGCUUUGAAGUUUCAGGUGCUCAAGUCAGACCCAGCGGCUCUCUCUCUCCCUGCUGCCUGUGAAUCUGGAUGCCAAACUCUCAGCUACUUCUCCAGCACCAUGUCUGCCUGUGUGCACCAUGCUCCCCGCCAUGAUGAUAAUGGACUA
Non-coding RNA from Peromyscus maniculatus bairdii (prairie deer mouse), 2998 nucleotides. The record is from RefSeq and is a predicted model, not a curated record. Lineage: Eukaryota; Metazoa; Chordata; Mammalia; Rodentia; Cricetidae.